This 20-nucleotide non-coding RNA is filed under the name Arabidopsis thaliana (thale cress). Lineage: Eukaryota; Viridiplantae; Streptophyta; Magnoliopsida; Brassicales; Brassicaceae. The record is from RNAcentral.
CGAGUGAUGUGGUCGAGUGA